RNAcentral lists this ribosomal RNA (1713 nucleotides) under uncultured Methanobacteriaceae archaeon. Its description in RNAcentral is "bacterial SSU rRNA". It matches the Rfam family "Archaeal small subunit ribosomal RNA". The record is from RNAcentral. Lineage: Archaea; Methanobacteriati; Methanobacteriota; Methanobacteria; Methanobacteriales; Methanobacteriaceae.
UUCCGGUUGAUCCCGCCGGAGACUACUACUAUCAGGAUUCGGCUUAGCCAUGCGAGGUACUUGUAGCGAUACAAACCGUACUGCUCAGUAACACGUAGUCAACCUGCCCUACAGACGGGGAUAAUCCUGGGAAACUGGGCGUAAUACCCGAUAGGCGAUUAUUGCUGGAAGGCUUUUUCGCUUAAAGCAGCAAUGUGCUGUAGGAUGGGACUGCGACGGAUUAGCUUGUUGUUGAGGUAAAGACUGAAAUCGAAAGAUUUCUUUCGCCUAUUUGCUCAACAAGGCUGUAAUCCGUACGGGUCGUGAGAGCGAUUGCCCGGAGAUGGCUUCUGAGACAUGAAGCCAGGCCCUACGGGGCGCAGCAGGCGCGAAAACUUCGCAAUGCCUGAAAGGGUGACGAGGGAAUCCUGAGUGAUAUCGCAAUGCGGUAUCUUUUGUUUACUGUAAAUAGGUAGACGAAUAAGGGGUGGGUAAGACGGUUGCCAGCCGCCGCGGUAAUUCGGAGAAUUGAAGAAAAAGGAUUUGGCAUGAAAUGUGUUCUUACAUUUCAAUUCUGAAUUUGCAGUUCUCCGGACCGCAAAUAACCGCGCCCCAAGUUGUAGUCACGUUUAUUGGGCCUAAAGCGUCCGUAGCUGGUUUGAUAAGUCUUUGGUGAAAUCCAACAGCAAACUGUUGGAAUGGCUGGAGAUACUAUCAGACUCGAGACCGGGAGAGGUCAGGGGUAUUUCACGGGUAAGAGUAAAAUCUUUUAAUCCGUGAAGGACCACCUGUGGCGAAGGCGCCUGACUGGAACGGGUCUGACAGUGAGGGACGAAAGCGUGGGGAGCAACCGGGAUUAGAUACCCCGUUAGUCCACGCUGUAAACGAUGCCCAUUUGGUGUCACACAAUCUUCGAGAUUCUGUGGUGCCGUAGCGAAGGUGUUAAAUGGGCCGCCUGGGGAGUACGACCGCAAGGUUGAAUUCCUCCAAAAAUGAGGACAACACACUUAAGGGAAUUGGCGGGGGAGCACUACCAGGGGUGGAGGCUGGCGGUUUAAUUGGAUUCAACGCCAGGACCUUACCCAUGAAGCAGCAGAAUGAGGGUCACUCUAAAGGGGUUACCUGACAAGCUGAGAAGUGCUGCAUGGCCGUCGUCAGUUCGUGCUGUGAAGUGUCGUGUUAAGUCACGAAACGAACGAGACCCUUGCCGUUAGUUGCUACUAUCCUCCCGGAGGGUAGGCACUCUAGCGGGACCGCUGUUGCUAAAACAGAGGAAGGAGAGGGCUACGGCAGGUCAGUAUGGCCUGAAUUUAUGGGGAUACACGCGGCCUACAAUGCGUAGGACAACGGGAUGCAACGCCGUAAGGCGAAGCCAAUCUCUUAAACCUACGCCUAGUUCGGAUCGUGGGCUGCAACUCGCCCACGUGAAGCCGGAAUCCCUAGUAAGCGAAGGUCAUCAACGGAGCAAGUGCAAGAUGAUUUUUUGGCGGCUGAAAAUUCUGCGUCAUAAGAAGGUUUGACUAUGAGCGCGCGAGCGCGAUGAAUAUAGACUGGGCGGAUGACGCAUGUUUUUGGCAAGCAGCACUAUGAUGCAUUUGCUUCAGUGGAAUCUUUCGCUGAAUACGUCCCUGCUCCUUGCACACACCGCCCGUCAAACCAUCCGAGUGGACUUUUGGUGAAGCUCGCGCAGAGCGAUUUGAAUCACAAGUCUGCAAGGAGGGUUAAGUCGUAACA